Molecule: microRNA, 22 nt
Filed under: Callorhinchus milii (elephant shark)
Lineage: Eukaryota; Metazoa; Chordata; Chondrichthyes; Chimaeriformes; Callorhinchidae
Description: eshark_NOVEL_47
Source: RNAcentral
UGACUCAGAAGUCGGCUAUUUU